AGCGAACGCUGGCGGCAGGCCUAACACAUGCAAGUCGAACGAACCUUUCGGGGUUAGUGGCGGACGGGUGAGUAACACGUGGGAACGUGCCUUUAGGUUCGGAAUAACUCAGGGAAACUUGUGCUAAUACCGAAUGUGCUCUUCGGGGGAAAGAUUUAUCGCCUUUAGAGCGGCCCGCGUCUGAUUAGCUAGUUGGUUGAGGUAAUGGCUCACCAAGGCGAGGAUCAGUAGCUGGCCUGAGAGGAUGAUCAGCCACAUUGGGACUGAGACACGGCCCAGACUCCUACGGGAGGCAGCAGUGGGGAAUCUUGCGCAAUGGGCGAAAGCCUGACGCAGCCAUGCCGCGUGAAUGAUGAAGGUCUUAGGAUUGUAAAGUUCUUUCACCCGGGACGAUAAUGACGGUACCCGGAGAAGAAGCCCCGGCUAACUUCGUG
Molecule: ribosomal RNA, 434 nt
Filed under: uncultured bacterium
Lineage: Bacteria
Description: partial 16S ribosomal RNA
Rfam family: Bacterial small subunit ribosomal RNA
Source: RNAcentral